AGAGUUUGAUCCUGGCUCAGGACGAACGCUGGCGGCGUGCCUAAUACAUGCAAGUCGAGCGCGUGAAAUUCGCGGAUCUCUUCGGAGUGAUGCGGAUGGAUCGAGCGGCGGACGGGUGAGUAACACGUGGGCAACCUGCCCGUAAGACUGGGAUAACUUCGGGAAACCGAAGCUAAUACCGGAUAGGCUUUCGCACCGCAUGGUGCGAAAGGGAAAGAUGCUUCUGGCAUCACUUACGGAUGGGCCCGCGGCGCAUUAGCUAGUUGGUGAGGUAACAGCUCACCAAGGCGACGAUGCGUAGCCGACCUGAGAGGGUGAUCGGCCACACUGGGACUGAGACACGGCCCAGACUCCUACGGGAGGCAGCAGUAGGGAAUCUUCCGCAAUGGACGAAAGUCUGACGGAGCAACGCCGCGUGAGCGAGGAAGGUCUUCGGAUCGUAAAGCUCUGUUGUCGGAGACGAACAAGCGUCAUAGGAAAUGAUGGCGCCAUGACGGUAUCCGACCAGAAAGCCCCGGCUAACUACGUGCCAGCAGCCGCGGUAAUACGUAGGGGGCGAGCGUUGUCCGGAAUUAUUGGGCGUAAAGCGCGCGCAGGCGGCUCCUUAAGUCUGGUGUGAAAGCCCGCGGCUCAACCGCGGAGGGUCAUUGGAAACUGGGGAGCUUGAGUGCAGGAGAGGAGAGUGGAAUUCCACGUGUAGCGGUGAAAUGCGUAGAGAUGUGGAGGAACACCGGUGGCGAAAGCGGCUCUCUGGCCUGUAACUGACGCUGAGGCGCGAAAGCGUGGGGAGCAAACAGGAUUAGAUACCCUGGGUAGUCCACGCCGUAAACGAUGAGUGCUAGGUGUUAGGGGGGUCCAACCCCUUAGUGCUGAAGUUAACACAUUAAGCACUCCGCCU
Molecule: ribosomal RNA, 898 nt
Filed under: uncultured bacterium
Lineage: Bacteria
Description: bacterial SSU rRNA
Rfam family: Bacterial small subunit ribosomal RNA
Source: RNAcentral